UUUCAGUAGUUUACUACAGAAAAUGACUGAGCGGCGAACGGGUGAGUAACGCGUGAGCAACCUACCUUAGUUACUGGGAUAGCCCGAGGAAACUCGGAUUAAUACCGGAUAUUCUUAUUUAAUCACAUGAUUUUUUAAGGAAAGGUCAGCCGAACUAAGAUGGGCUCGCGUUCUAUCAGCUAGUUGGUAGGGUAAUGGCCUACCAAGGCUACGACGGAUAGCUGGUCUGAGAGGACGAUCAGCCACACUGGGACUGAGACACGGCCCAGACUCCUACGGGAGGCUGCAGCAGGGAAUAUUGCGCAAUGAGCGAAAGCUUGACGCAGCGACACCGCGUGUGGGAUGACGGAUCUAGGUUUGUAAACCACUUUCAGGAGGGAAGAAAAUGACGGUACCUCCACAAGAAGCCCCGGCCAACUACGUGCCAGCAGCCGCGGUAAUACGUAGGGGGCGAGCGUUGUCCGGAUUUAUUGGGCGUAAAGAGCUCGUAGGCGGUUCAACAAGUCGGUCGUGAAAGUUCAGGGCUCAACCCUGAAAUGUCGAUCGAUACUGUUGUGACUAGGAUACGGUAGAGGUGAGUGGAAUUCCGAGUGUAGCGGUGAAAUGCGUAGAUAUUCGGAGGAACACCAAUUGCGAAGGCAGCUCACUG
This 649-nucleotide ribosomal RNA is filed under the name uncultured marine bacterium. RNAcentral's name for it is "bacterial SSU rRNA". It matches the Rfam family "Bacterial small subunit ribosomal RNA", at positions 70 to 731 of the family's 1533-position model. The record is from RNAcentral.